UGCAGUCGAGCGGUAAGGCCCUUUCGGGGUACACGAGCGGCGAACGGGUGAGUAACACGUGGGUGAUCUGCCUCGCACUUCGGGAUAAGCCUGGGAAACUGGGUCUAAUACCGGAUAUGACCUUUCAGUGCAUGCUGUUGGGUGGAAAGAUUUAUCGGUGCGAGAUGGGCCCGCGGCCUAUCAGCUUGUUGGCGGGGUAACGGCCCACCAAGGCGACGACGGGUAGCCGACCUGAGAGGGUGACCGGCCACACUGGGAAUGAGAACACGGCCCCAGACUCCUACGGGAGGCAGCAGUGGGGAAUAUUGCACAAUGGGCGGAAGCCUGAUGCAGCGACGCCGCGUGAGGGAUGACGGCCUUCGGGUUGUAAACCUCUUUCGACAGGGACGAAGCGCAAGUGACGGUACCUGUAGAAGAAGCACCGGCCAACUACGUGCCAGCAGCCGCGGUAAUACGUAGGGUGCGAGCGUUGUCCGGAAUUACUGGGCGUAAAGAGCUUGUAGGCGGUUUGUCGCGUCGUCCGUGAAAACUUGGGGCUCAACCCCAAGCUUGCGGGCGAUACGGGCAGACUUGAGUACUUCAGGGGAGACUGGAAUUCCUGGUGUAGCGGUGAAAUGCGCAGAUAUCAGGAGGAACACCGGUGGCGAAGGCGGGUCUCUGGGAAGUAACUGACGCUGAGAAGCGAAAGCGUGGGUAGCGAACAGGAUUAGAUACCCUGGUAGUCCACGCCGUAAACGGUGGGUACUAGGUGUGGGUUUCCUUCCACGGGAUCCGUGCCGUAGCUAACGCAUUAAGUACCCCGCCUGGGGAGUACGGCCGCAAGGCUAAAACUCAAAGGAAUUGACGGGGGCCCGCACAAGCGGCGGAGCAUGUGGAUUAAUUCGAUGCAACGCGAAGAACCUUACCUGGGUUUGACAUACACCGGAAACCUGCAGAGAUGUAGGCCCCCUUGUGGUCGGUGUACAGGUGGUGCAUGGCUGUCGUCAGCUCGUGUCGUGAGAUGUUGGGUUAAGUCCCGCAACGAGCGCAACCCUUGUCCUGUGUUGCCAGCGGAUUAUGCCGGGGACUCGCAGGAGACUGCCGGGGUCAACUCGGAGGAAGGUGGGGACGACGUCAAGUCAUCAUGCCCCCUUAUGUCCAGGGCUUCACACAUGCUACAAUGGCCGGUACAGAGGGCUGCGAUACCGUGAGGUGGAGCGAAUCCCUUAAAAGCCGGUCUCAGUUCGGAUCGGGGUCUGCGAACUCGACCCCGUGAAAGUUGGAGUCGCUAGUAAUCGCAGCUCAGCAACGCUGCGGUUAUACGUUCCCGGCCUUGUACCACCGCCCGUCACGUC
This 1334-nucleotide ribosomal RNA is filed under the name Nocardia brasiliensis. RNAcentral's name for it is "bacterial SSU rRNA". It matches the Rfam family "Bacterial small subunit ribosomal RNA", at positions 56 to 1403 of the family's 1533-position model. Lineage: Bacteria; Bacillati; Actinomycetota; Actinomycetes; Mycobacteriales; Nocardiaceae. The record is from RNAcentral.